Molecule: ribosomal RNA, 305 nt
Filed under: uncultured bacterium
Lineage: Bacteria
Description: bacterial SSU rRNA
Rfam family: Bacterial small subunit ribosomal RNA
Source: RNAcentral
CCUACGGGGCGCAGCAGUGGGGAAUAUUGGGCAAUGGGCGCAAGCCUGACCCAGCAACGCCGCGUGAAGGAAGAAGGCUUUCGGGUUGUAAACUUCUUUUAUGAGGGACGAAACAAAUGACGGUACCUCAUGAAUAAGCCACGGCUAACUACGUGCCAGCAGCCGCGGUAAUACGUAGGUGGCAAGCGUUAUCCGGAUUUACUGGGUGUAAAGGGCGUGUAGGCGGGACUGCGAGUCAGAUGUGAAAAUUAUGGGCUCAACCCAUAACCUGCAUUUGAAACUGUAGUUCUUGAGUGAUGGAGAGG